This is an RNA transcript of Vitis vinifera (wine grape), 6916 nucleotides long. It is a transcript of the gene named disease resistance protein RGA2-like, with no coding region annotated. NCBI's taxonomy places the organism in Eukaryota, Viridiplantae, Streptophyta, Magnoliopsida, Vitales, Vitaceae. The transcript is spliced from 6 exons. The record is from RefSeq and is a predicted model, not a curated record.
CUGUUGUUGAUUCUGCUUUCCUUGGGGAAAGCGCAUCUACCUCCCACUCGCUUUUCCUGUUCUUUUUCUCACCACUAUGGUGUUUGACAAAUAUUGGCAGCUGGGUCACCACCAAUAACUUCAAGCAUUCUGCAGUGUAGCUGGGUCCACCACCAAUAUCUGGCAGCUGGGUCCACCACCAAUAAUGAUUCCUUCAAGCAUUCUGCAGUGUGGUAAUCCAAACCCAGUCUUUUGCAGUUUGGUGGUAUCGCGGUAACAGAAACCAAUCCUCUGAAUUCCUAUUGCAAAGCAACAGUCGACACAGAUAUGGCGGACGCCCUCCUCUCAACUUCGCUUCAAGUUCUAUUCGAAAGGUUGGCUUCUCCAGAGCUCAUAAACUUCAUUCGGCGACGGAGCCUUAGCGAUGAACUCCUCAACGAGUUGAAGAGGAAACUCGUGGUUGUUCACAAUGUGCUCGAUGAUGCGGAGGUGAAGCAAUUUUCGAACCCAAAUGUCAAAGAGUGGCUCGUCCCUGUCAAGGAUGCUGUGUAUGGUGCGGAAGACCUGCUGGACGAGAUCGUUACCGACGGAACUCUUAAGGCGUGGAAAUGGAAGAAGUUCUCUGCUUCUGUGAAGGCCCCAUUUGCUAUCAAAAGCAUGGAGUCCAGGGUCAGGGGCAUGAUUGUUCAACUGGAAAAAAUCGCACUAGAAAAAGUUGGGUUGGGGCUGGCAGAAGGUGGGGGCGAGAAACGGUCACCAAGACCAAGAUCACCAAUAACCACUUCUUUGGAGCAUGACUCCAUUUUUGUCGGCAGGGAUGGAAUUCAGAAGGAGAUGGUGGAGUGGUUGCGUUCUGACAAUACAACAGGCGACAAAAUGGGGGUGAUGUCCAUAGUGGGCAUGGGCGGCAGCGGCAAGACCACGCUUGCUCGGCGUCUCUAUAAAAAUGAGGAAGUGAAGAAACACUUCGACUUGCAAGCAUGGGUCUGUGUUUCCACUGAGUUUUUCCUUAUCAAACUCACCAAAACAAUUCUUGAGGAAAUUGGUUCUCCACCUACUUCCGCUGACAACCUAAAUUUGCUUCAGCUUCAACUCACAGAGCAACUUCGUAACAAGAAAUUUCUGCUUGUUCUUGAUGACGUCUGGAAUUUGAAGCCUCGUGAUGAAGGUUAUAUGGAGCUUAGUGAUCGUGAAGUUUGGAAUAUUCUACGAACUCCACUCCUCGCAGCAGAGGGAAGCAAGAUUGUCGUGACCAGUCGUGAUCAAUCUGUUGCAACAACCAUGCGAGCAGUCCCUACUCAUCAUCUUGGGGAAUUAAGCUCUGAAGAUAGUUGGUCCCUGUUUAAAAAGCAUGCAUUUGAAGAUAGAGACCCCAACGCAUACCUUGAGCUUCAACGCAUAGGCAGACAGAUUGUGGACAAGUGCCAAGGAUUGCCUUUGGCUGUGAAAGCACUCGGCUGUCUCUUGUAUUCUAAGGACGAAAAAAGGGAAUGGGACGAUGUGUUGAGAAGUGAAAUAUGGCAUCCGCAGCGUGGCUCCGAAAUUCUUCCGUCUUUGAUAUUAAGCUACCAUCAUCUUUCUUUACCUCUGAAGCAUUGUUUUGCUUAUUGUUCUAUUUUUCCCCAGGACCACCAAUUCAACAAAGAGGAGCUGAUUUUAUUAUGGAUGGCAGAAGGUCUUUUACAUGCACAACAAAACAAAGGAAGGAGAAUGGAAGAGAUCGGUGAGUCAUAUUUUGAUGAGCUUCUUGCCAAGUCUUUCUUUCAAAAAUCUAUUGGAAUAGAAGGAUCAUGCUUUGUAAUGCAUGAUCUAAUACAUGAAUUGGCUCAAUACGUGUCUGGAGAUUUUUGUGCUCGAGUGGAAGAUGAUGAUAAGUUACCACCAGAAGUAUCUGAGAAGGCUCGCCACUUUUUGUACUUUAAUAGUGAUGAUACCAGGCUUGUUGCAUUUAAGAAUUUUGAGGCUGUCCCUAAAGCUAAAUCUCUUCGGACAUUCUUAAGAGUGAAGCCAUGGGUUGAUCUUCCUUUGUAUAAGUUGAGUAAAAGAGUUUUGCAAGAUAUAUUACCAAAAAUGUGGUGUUUACGCGUGUUAUCAUUAUGUGCAUAUACAAUAACUGAUUUGCCUAAAUCGAUAGGUAAUUUAAAACAUUUGCGUUACUUGGAUUUGUCUUCCACGAGGAUUAAAAAAUUACCUAAAUCAGCAUGUUGUUUAUGCAAUUUACAAACGAUGAUGCUGAGAAAUUGUUCAAAACUUGAUGAAUUGCCUUCAAAGAUGGGAAAAUUGAUUAAUUUGCGCUAUCUUGAUAUUGAUGGAUGUGGUUCAUUGAGAGAAAUGUCAAGUCAUGGAAUUGGUCGAUUAAAAAGUUUACAAAGGUUGACUCAAUUUAUUGUGGGCCAAAACGAUGGAUUAAGAAUUGGAGAAUUGGGGGAGCUGUCAGAGAUUCGAGGAAAACUUUGUAUUUCAAACAUGGAGAAUGUGGUGAGUGUUAAUGAUGCAUUAAGGGCUAAUAUGAAGGAUAAAAGUUAUCUUUAUGAGUUAAUCUUUGGUUGGGGUACCAGUGGUGUUACACAAAGUGGUGCAACAACGCAUGAUAUACUCAACAAGUUACAACCUCAUCCAAAUUUAAAACAACUCUCCAUCACAAACUAUCCUGGUGAAGGAUUUCCAAAUUGGCUUGGAGAUCCUUCAGUGUUGAAUCUCGUGUCCCUUGAGCUUCGGGGUUGUGGCAAUUGCUCAACAUUGCCACCACUUGGACAGCUAACCCAGCUUAAAUAUCUGCAAAUCUCAAGGAUGAAUGGAGUAGAGUGUGUGGGUGAUGAGUUAUAUGAGAAUGCUUCCUUUCAAUUCCUAGAAACACUAUCAUUUGAGGAUAUGAAGAACUGGGAGAAAUGGUUAUGUUGUGGAGAAUUCCCUCGUCUCCAAAAGCUUUUUAUACGAAAGUGUCCCAAACUCACUGGGAAAUUACCAGAACAGCUUCUUUCAUUGGUGGAACUUCAAAUUGAUGGAUGUCCGCAGCUGCUUAUGGCUUCACUCACAGUUCCUGCAAUUCGUCAGUUGAGGAUGGUGGAUUUUGGUAAACUGCGGUUGCAAAUGCCAGGUUGUGACUUCACACCUCUUCAAACUUCAGAAAUUGAAAUUUUAGAUGUGUCUCAGUGGAGUCAACUUCCAAUGGCACCACACCAGCUGUCAAUUAGAAAAUGUGAUUAUGUGGAGUCUCUGCUAGAGGAGGAAAUCUCGCAAACCAACAUUCAUGAUCUGAAAAUCUGUGAUUGUAUUUUUUCUAGAUCCCUGCACAAAGUUGGUUUACCCACUACACUGAAAUCACUGUUAAUCUAUAACUGCUCGAAAUUAGCGUUUCUCGUACCUGAGUUGUUCAGAUGCCAUCUCCCAGUCCUUGAACGUCUAAUCAUCGAACGUGGUGUUAUCGAUGAUUCUCUGUCGUUAUCCUUCUCAUUAGGCAUCUUCCCCAAGUUGACUGAUUUCGAAAUCAAUGGUCUUAAUGGGCUUGAGAAGCUCUCGAUUUUGGUUUCAGAGGGUGAUCCCACAUCUUUAUGUUCCCUGCGUCUAAGAGGUUGCUCUGAUCUUGAAUCUAUCGAAUUACGCGCUCUCAACUUGAAGUCUUGUUCGAUUCAUAGGUGCUCCAAGCUCAGGUCAUUGGCACACAGACAGUCAUCUGUACAGUACUUGAAUUUAUAUGAUUGUCCAGAAUUGUUGUUUCAGAGAGAGGGUUUGCCUUCCAACCUACGUGAACUUGAAAUUAAGAAGUGCAACCAACUCACGCCCCAGGUGGAGUGGGGUUUGCAAAGGCUGACCUCUCUUACUCAUUUCAUAAUCAAAGGUGGAUGUGAAGACAUUGAAUUAUUUCCCAAAGAGUGUUUGCUGCCCUCUUCUCUGACUUCUCUUCAAAUCUGGAAUCUUCCAAAUCUCAAGUCUCUUGACAGCGGGGGUCUUCAACAACUCACCUCUCUUUUAGAAUUAAGGAUCUACUUCUGCCCAAAGCUCCAGUUCUCGACAGGAUCGGUUCUUCAACACCUUAUCUCUCUAAAACGAUUAGUAAUUUGUCAAUGCUCGAGGCUCCAAUCAUUGACAGAAGCGGGUCUUCAACACCUCACCUCUCUUGAAAGUUUGUGGAUCCAUGAGUGCCCAAUGCUCCAAUCCUUGAAAAAAGUGGGUCUUCAACACCUCACCUCUCUUAAAACAUUGGAGAUCAUGAUCUGUCGUAAGCUCAAAUACUUGACAAAAGAGAGACUUUCAGACUCCCUCUCUUUUCUGAGGAUCUACGGGUGUCCUCUACUGGAAAAACGGUGUCAAUUUGAGAAAGGGGAAGAAUGGCGUUAUAUAGCUCACAUUCCAAAAAUAAUGAUCAAUGGUGUGCUAUAUUAAUCAAAGUGCCACUCCGCCAAUAUAGAGUCAGCACAGAGAAAAGAUUGAAGCAACAGACUGGGAACUCCAGCAAAGAAAAUCCGUUUCCCCUGGCCCAGACUCUGAUCUUUGGCAGGCUUUCUCUGAGGCAGGUGCCCAGACAACAAUAGCAAGUCUGUUAGGACCCGAAAUGGCCAUCACAACAAACCAGCCACAGAAGGAACUUCUGGCCCUGAAACUUGGGGUUUUGGAACAGAGAGUUUUACAGCCACCCCUGCUGCCGGCUCUAAUAUUUCCAGACCCUCCAUUGGAGGCAAUAAUGCCCAGCUGUUUGUUGACUCAAAGAAGAUUGAGGGCAAGCUGGCUACUCAACCUGCUGAAUGGGCUGGUUUCUAACUUAUUUGGUGAGGUUAUAUCAUCCUGGGCACUUCUGGCCAUAAGAGAUGGGAAUAGGUAAAAAAGCAAAACAAAAAGGGAUUCAUGGCUUUCUGGGCAUGAUUAUGCUUGUAAGUAUUGAGUGUUUGCCUUAUGCAAUAGAAUACAACAUCUGCAUAUGUUCCCUGGUUUCCAUGGACUACUUACAAACUUGUACUGUUCUGAAUGCCUCGAUUUUCAGGUCGGAAAAAUAAUAAUUUCUUUUAAUAUUGUCCUGUCUGUGACCUUAUCCUUCUAUUUUGCCAUCUAUUUUUGUUUAAUCCAUGAAAAUCUUGUAUCAUAUUUCAUUUGCAUUUGUUACAUGCAUAAAUCUCUUUAUUAGAUAGUUGAUGUACUUGUUUCUGUGCCAAUUUUGAUGUUGUUUUCUUCUUGAUUUUUGGCUUGUCUUAUGUCUUGAGCCCAAACAACAUCCACUGUCUCUUAAGACCAUAAAUGGUCAUUGUAACAUUUUAUUUGGUAUUGAAGUGGUGUCAAGGAGAGGGGUGGAUUCUUCAUCCUGGUUUUAUGUUUCUGUUUUUAAAAAAUUAUUAGUCAAAUGAGUUUUUGGACUGUCUUUAGCUAUUUUCGACUAUUUUUCCAUAUGUUAUCUUAGAUCUAAAUGCAUUAGCUGGACAAUAGAAUGGUGGUUACUUAUCUAACAGAUGUUGUUUUACUAGACCAUGGGUGAGCUCUCUUACCAAUUCUUAUCUUUAGAAGGGCUUCUAUAUACAAACUUUUAGUGUUUCAUUGAUGUUUUUAAUCUUAUUGCAGAAUGAAAGAAAACUCAACCCUCUCGUCCGUAAUUCAGAACCAUCUAAAGCCUGGGCCAUGGAAUAAGCUCAAGCCUUUCUGUACAGAGCAGCUGGACUCUCUCAAAUUUUUGAUUUGUAAAUAUCCAAAGGUGACUUUUCCCAGUGGAGGAAUUGGAGGAAGGGGAGAUUCCUGGGUGCUGAACUAUUGAUGUUCAUUGCUCUGUUCAAGAAGAACAAGAAACUAUUGAACCCUGGCAUUGAGCUGAUGCUUCAUAACGUGUUAUUAUAAGUGUCCGAGUUGUCUGAAUAUACCCCAUAGUCCCUCUGAUGCCUGUACACAAGUCCUCGGGCGCCUCCAGAAAGGAAGCUUGAUAAAGAGCCAUUGUGCACAAAAAAAAACCAGUAGUCAGUGUUCACCCUCACAACAGUAACGCAGCAAGUGUCCUUGAUUCUUAUGCAACAGAAUUUCCAGAACCUGAUGGUAAUAUCCCUUUAUAGACAGUGCCAAAGACUUCUACCAUCGCUUGUACUCAGGAUUCUGUGAUAAAGCUGCAGAUUUUUGAGGUUCAAGCGGUAGAAAACUAGUGAAAUUGCAGCCAGAGAAACGAAGAAGAAGAACGCAGAGGGGCCUAAGAGGACUGAGAGUAUUAGAAUUGCUUUAUUUUGCUUGCAUCUGCCUGAAGUUAGUUCACUGGACUUCAAUAUCUUGAUUAGAGCACUUCUGGAAACAGCAGUUUGAUCCAACCUCCCAUUUGAAAGAGGUAGUCUUUUCCUCCAACAGCUUCCAGUUCCAUUUGGAAACCUCAGGUCCUCAAAAAUAGCAACUGCACAGUAGGCUCCAACACCAAUCCCUGGGUUGGCAAUAUGGUAUUAGUUGGGUGCUUGAAGCUCUCCCAUAUACUGGUAUACAAUUUCCAUCUCCAAGCAUGGCACCAUGCACUGAUUCGCUGCUCACAUUACCAGUCUUUGUCUUCCAUAUAUCUAAGCCUCUAGAGAACAAGCUGUCCAUUGGUGGUAAGCCCAAACUUUUGAUCCUCUUGGCACCAGUUAACUUCCAUUUGCAGUCCAGAUAGCAAGAAGGAAUAGGUCCUCUUCACUUGGAGAGGGUCGGAAUCCAAAUGCAAAAUCACCAGAAAGGCAAAGCCCAUGUGGAGUUUUCAUCAGUGGCAUAGAGAGAUGAACCCAAGCUUAUAUUACCAUAAGCUUGGCUGAUGAGUAACAAGUAGGGGUAGAGAGACAAUGUAUGUAAGUUAUUAUUCACUGCUUUUCUCUGCAUGUUGAUUAAGUUGAAAGAGACUAGCGAAUAUUAUUUUCUUCUAUGAUUGAACAUUCUCCUGUAAUUGAAUAGUGUAAAAGCAUUUUUUUUUCUUCUUCAACAAAUGAAUAUUGAGAGCAUAGAAUUACAGUAA